CAGCCGCCGCGGGAAUACGAAGGGGGCUAGCGUUGCUCGGAAUGACUGGGCGUAAAGGGCGCGUAGGCGGUUUUGACAGUCAGAUGUGAAAUUCCUGGGCUUAACCUGGGGGCUGCAUUUGAGACGUCAAGACUAGAGUGUGAGAGAGGGUUGUGGAAUUCCCAGUGUAGAGGUGAAAUUCGUAGAUAUUGGGAAGAACACCGGUGGCGAAGGCGGCAACCUGGCUCAUUACUGACGCUGAGGCGCGAAAGCGUGGGGAGCAAACAGGAUUAGAUACCCCAGUAGUCCCUGUCUCUUAUAC
Molecule: ribosomal RNA, 301 nt
Filed under: uncultured bacterium
Lineage: Bacteria
Description: partial 16S ribosomal RNA
Rfam family: Bacterial small subunit ribosomal RNA
Source: RNAcentral